GUGUCAGCAGCCGCGGUAAUACGUAGGGGGCAAGCGUUGUCCGGAAUCAUUGGGCGUAAAGCGCGUGUAGGCGGCCACGUUAGUCCGCUCUGAAAGCCCGGGGCUCAACCCCGGGAGGCGGGUGGAUACUGCGUGGCUCGAGUCCGGAAGAGGCGAGUGGAAUUCCUGGUGUAGCGGUGAAAUGCGCAGAUAUCAGGAGGAACACCAAUGGCGAAGGCAGCUCGCUGGGACGUGACUGACGCUGAGACGCGAAAGCGUGGGGAGCAAACAGGAUUAGAUACCCUGGUAGUCCACGCCGUAAACGAUGAACACUAGGUGUAGGGGGUGUCGACUCCCCCUGUGCCGAAGCUAACGCAUUAAGUGUUCCGCCUGGGGAGUACGGCCGCAAGGCUAAA
Molecule: ribosomal RNA, 395 nt
Filed under: uncultured bacterium
Lineage: Bacteria
Description: bacterial SSU rRNA
Rfam family: Bacterial small subunit ribosomal RNA
Source: RNAcentral